GGGAAGCUAAACUAGGCUUGGGCAGAGAGAAGCACAACUAGGCUGCUGGCCUGACCUGCCUUUGGCCUAACCAGUAGAAAGUGUGGGAGCAUUACCAAGUUGUUCUGCAUCAAGCUGAAAUGACCAGGUGUUUAUUCCCCUGGUUCACUCAGUCACCAAAUAUGUAUCUGUCUGCUUCUGGUGGAGAUUGUGAAGGGGAUGACAGUUAGAACUAUCUGUCCCCUGUCAGUGCUCCCCACAGCUGGGUAGCAAGCCCUUGCAUCUACUACAGUGUUCCAAUGUUCAUAGUUAAUGGAUUCUUAUUAAUGGUUGAUGGAUUAGCAUGGAAGCUUAUUAAAUUUUGGCUUCUGAAGGUGGAGAAUUUGCAAAUGUUUAGACUGGAUUAGGUUCAUGGGGUGAAGUCCCCUGAUUAAUCAUGAUGGCUUUCUAGAAUGAGGCACAGGGACACAGAGGACGUGUGUGCUCCCUGUGACUCUGCUUCCUGGCUGAACACAUGAUUGUUCCUCCACACACCAAAGGCCAGACUAAUGGGGCCACCUGAUCCUGGCCAACGAAAGCCUGGGCAGUUCUCCAAACUAAAAACUCCAGGAGCUCAAAAAGAGGAAGUGCCAAGGCUCUGGGAUAGACACAUACCUUGCCUUUUAGGUAGGAUAAACUUUCACCUUAUGCCUGCAAGCGGAUCACACUUGACCAGGGAAAUAAGCUAUAAGCUACCAAAACAAAUUGUAGAAAACAAAAAUGAAACACACAUCACUGAUACUCAGUCCACAUGAUUGUGUGUUCACAUGUAUAUAUGUAUGGAUAAAGUACAAAACUGUGAUGCCCUAAUUUCUCUGAUAAUUAUCACAGUGCCAUAAUACUUUUUUUUUUUUGGACAGGCAGAGUUAGACAGUGAGAGAGAGAUAGAGACAGAGAGAAAGGUCUUCCUUCCAUUGGUUCACCCCCCAAAUGGCCACUACCACCGGCGCUGCGCCAAUCUGAAGCCAGGAGCCAGGUGCUUCCAAAUGGUCUCCCAUGCAGGUGCAGGGCCCAAGGACCUGGGCCAUCCUCCACUGCCCUCCCCGGACCACAGCAGAGAGCUGGACUGGAAGAGGAGCAACCGGGACAGAAUCUGGCACCCCGACCAGAACUAGAACCCGGGGUGCUGGCACCACAGGCGGAGGAUUAGCCAAGUGAGCCACAGCGCCAUAAUAAUUAUAAUACAGCAUUUAGUGAACACAAGAUAUUUCAAUCAAAAUCCCCUUAUUCAUGGCAGUCGUAACAACUGGAAUUGAGGAGAAAAAAUUCAGUUUUCAUACCUUUGUCUUCUUCCAUCCAAUUAUACAAUCUCCUGGCCAUUAUAUUAAUCUGCCUUUUCCCCUUCGAAGUCCCACUUGCCAAUCACUGCCUUCAAUUGGAAAGUCUCUACCAUAAUCUCUACAUUUUUAAGGAUCAAUAUCUAAGUCUUUUCCAGUGACCCCUAGUCCCUACAGUUUUUUCAUCUCUUACAUUGUAUAAUUCCUCAUUUAACGGAAGAAACUAAAAUUCUUGAAUCUCCUUUCAUGCCCAUUGUUAUUUUUUCUAUCCCACUAUAAUCACUCAGCUGACGCUACAAAAAUGUUUUUAAUUCAUCCUUUAUUUUAAAUUAUUAUUCCAACAGCCACUACUCUGGUCUAAGUGAUUUCUAUUCUACUAUUUGCUAUUGAUUUAGCAUCAAACAAAUCUCCCUUGCUUCAUGUUUUUUCAAUCCCUCUCUAUUAUGCCAGUUUAAGCUUCAUUCCCUCUCUAUUACGC
Molecule: long non-coding RNA, 1773 nt
Filed under: Oryctolagus cuniculus (rabbit)
Lineage: Eukaryota; Metazoa; Chordata; Mammalia; Lagomorpha; Leporidae
Description: lncRNA (ENSOCUG00000034260.1)
Source: RNAcentral